RNAcentral lists this ribosomal RNA (497 nucleotides) under uncultured bacterium. Its description in RNAcentral is "partial 16S ribosomal RNA". It matches the Rfam family "Bacterial small subunit ribosomal RNA", at positions 28 to 507 of the family's 1533-position model. The record is from RNAcentral.
GAUGAACGCUGGCGGCGUGCCUAAUACAUGCAAGUCGAGCGAACGGACGAGAAGCUUGCUUUUCUGAUGUUAGCGGCGGACGGGUGAGUAACACGUGGAUAACCUACCUAUAAGACUGGGAUAACUUCGGGAAACCGGAGCUAAUACCGGAUAAUAUUUUGAACCGCAUGGUUCAAAAGUGAAAGACGGUCUUGCUGUCACUUAUAGAUGGAUCCGCGCUGCAUUAGCUAGUUGGUAAGGUAACGGCUUACCAAGGCAACGAUGCAUAGCCGACCUGAGAGGGUGAUCGGCCACACUGGAACUGAGACACGGUCCAGACUCCUACGGCAGGCAGCAGUAGGGAAUCUUCCGCAAUGGGCGAAAGCCUGACGGAGCAACGCCGCGUGAGUGAUGAAGGUCUUCGGAUCGUAAAACUCUGUUAUUAGGGAAGAACAUAUGUGUAAGUAACUGUGCACAUCUUGACGGUACCUAAUCAGAAAGCCACGGCUAACUACGUG